CCCAAGUGCCUUUAUGUUAGGCAGGACCUGGAAGAGUGAGGAUUUAGAGCCAUUACAAUUGGAAAUAUCAGAAUUCCUUCAUGUUUUUGUGUGCCUAGCUAUAAGAUUAUAAGGAAGGGGCAAAAAGAGUUUAAGAUGCAAUUUCACAAAAGAGAAUUUCUUCGUAGUGGCUGUUCCCUACUCCCUCCACUUACAUUCCAAACCUUCCAAAUUACAGCAUGGUAGGCUAUACAGGAGAAGCUGUGCCUGCUCCAGCAGCAAGCUUCCAAGCAAAUACCUGUUCAAUGAUUUUUUUCUCUUUCUUCCUUGGAUGGCCCCAGAAGAGAGUGAAAAGGAAAAAAAAAUUCAGAGCAGAAAAGAGAGAUUUUACUCCACAAUUUGAGUGCUUGCUCUUUUAACAAAGCACGAGAAGCAGAAUGGAUUUGAAGUAAGACCUCACCUCACCACCACAACCUAAAAUUCUCUUUGAUUUGUCAUUCAAACGAGUAAUAGAGGGAAAGACAAAAGAUUAAAACUUCCUACAUAGAACCCUUGAAGAUCAUCACCUCUACCUUAAACACCUAUAUGCUUUGUUCCAAAUCUUUGCCUAUAUUAUAUUACAUGACUGAUGGUAAGUUGUAGUAGCUGGCUUUGAGCAACAACCCCCAUUACAAAGUUAAUAACAAGAUAGUUUCUGGACUCAAAGAACACACUUUUUGGAGUAGAUUGCAAAGAGAUGACUGUAUUUUAAAAGAUCACAAGAAAUGUUGCAGGCAUGCACAGGAAAGUAUUUAUAAAUACAUGGGCAAAUGGUAGCUUUAAAAAAUGUUUUUAGUUAUUUAUUUUGUGCUGUUUCAUGUCUUAGUAAUAUUCUAUGAUAUUAAGGAGGAGGGUCUUGGGGAAUGGAAAGUCAACAUUAACCAUGGAGGAAGGAUGUAGUACAUUAUUGAGAGGGUGAACUGGAAACAGAUGAUAUAUGAGUUUUUGGAAUAGCUAAAAGGUACUUUACGAAGCCAGUUUACAGUGGUAAAUAGUUUACUCAAACAAUUAGCUCUUAAAUAAUUACCUUUUCCUCCAUGAACCUCUUCCUUCCCC
RNAcentral lists this long non-coding RNA (1074 nucleotides) under Monodelphis domestica (gray short-tailed opossum). Its description in RNAcentral is "lncRNA (ENSMODG00000046017.1)". The record is from RNAcentral. Lineage: Eukaryota; Metazoa; Chordata; Mammalia; Didelphimorphia; Didelphidae.